Molecule: long non-coding RNA, 409 nt
Organism: Ceratina calcarata
Lineage: Eukaryota; Metazoa; Arthropoda; Insecta; Hymenoptera; Apidae
Exons: 3
Source: RefSeq, a predicted model, not a curated record
UUGCGGUGUGAACGGCACCGAGACGACGGAUCAGGCGGGGAACUCGACUCAACCAGCGCUAUCACUAUCACCGUCGCAGUUAUGCCAGGGCCCGAAGUCGACGCAACAGCUCCGUAACAGCCCCGAGUGUUCCGAGAGCCGGUGCCAUGACGAAAAGGAUAACGGCCAAGGGAAGAACGUUUCGCGGCCGGGCUGCCUUGACGCGAUAACACUGGAUUUGAUGUGGAUUACCGCGUACAUCGCCGGACUCUGUUUCAUAGCGAUCUUUGCCAACAUCCUGGUGGUGGUGUCCAUCGGAGUUCUCGUAUGGAAGACCGAUUGCAGCGAGAAAUGACUGCGAAAGGUGACGUGGAAAUUCCACGAAAGAGGAGACAGAAAUUACAUUUAUUGACAGGUCUGUUCGUUCACC